RNAcentral lists this ribosomal RNA (661 nucleotides) under Stygiocaris stylifera. Its description in RNAcentral is "bacterial SSU rRNA". It matches the Rfam family "Eukaryotic small subunit ribosomal RNA", at positions 1125 to 1763 of the family's 1831-position model. The record is from RNAcentral. Lineage: Eukaryota; Metazoa; Arthropoda; Malacostraca; Decapoda; Atyidae.
AUGGUUGCAAAGCUGAAACUUAAAGGAAUUGACGGAAGGGCACCACCAGGAGUGGAGCCUGCGGCUUAAUUUGACUCAACACGGGAAACCUCACCAGGCCCAGACACUAGCAGGAUUGACAGAUUAAGAGCUCUUUCUCGAUUUGGUGGGUGGUGGUGCAUGGCCGUUCUUAGUUGGUGGAGUGAUUUGUCUGGUUAAUUCCGGUAACGAACGAGACUCUGGCCUACUAAAUAGUCGACGUGGUGAUAUGGCCACGGUCGAAACUAUCUUCUUAGAGGGAUGAGCAGCAAGUGCAGCUGCAGGAGAGUGAGCAAUAACAGGUCUGUGAUGCCCUUAGAUGUUCUGGGCCGCACGCGCGCUACACUGAAAGGGUUAGCGGGUCUACCUUCUCCGAGAGGAGCGGGAAAUCGCUACAAAACCUUUCAUGAUUGGGAUUGGGGCUUGCAACUGUUCCCCAUGAACGAGGAAUUCCCAGUAAGCGCAAGUCAUCAGCUUGCGUUGAUUAAGUCCCUGCCCUUUGUACACACCGCCCGUCGCUACUACCGAUUGAAUGAUUUAGUGAGGCCUUCGGACUGGCGGCUUGGACUGGGCUCCACUCGUCACCCCUGCGUUGCCGCUGGGGCCGGUGGGCUCGCCUCGACGCGCCGGAAAGAUGUCCAAA